GACCACGGGAAAGCCACCACGAUAGUGGGGAGCCUCGCGGAGGAGGAUAAGGACCACAUUAAGGCCUGCAGGAAGCCAAGGAUCCUUUGCCUCCAUGGAUUCUGGACCAGCGGUGAGAUCAUGAGGCGCCAGGUGAUCGGAAAGUGGUUUCGGCUAGAUUUCUGAAACUCCUUCUUGCGGAGGGUGUGGAGGAUCUUGAGCAUUAGUUCCACGCCCUUGCGGAGGAGGCGUUGUCUGAUGACCUCGGUCUUGGGAUCCAAAGGCUUCCCUUCAUAAUGAGGAAGACAAAGGCAUGUCUCCAUUCAAUCCCCUGCUUCCUCCUCGGAAAUUCUUUGGUGGGAAACUGAUUUCUAUGACGUACUCUAGAACCCCAUCGGCGGUGGCAAACCUAAGAUGCUAUGGUAUUUCAAUGAGAAUUGAUGGCCUUCAUCUUCGGUGUUUAAGGAUCCUCCGGUUGAGAGCGUAGAUAAAGAGAAACUGAUUGUUAUUUUUCAGAUGCAGAAGAGAAGAUGAUUGAGAGCCAUGUGUUUGGAGAGGUGACUGUCUCUACGGUUGCAGAUCAACGUUCGAUUUUGUUUCUACAUUGUCUUUUAUUUUAUUUGUUUAUAAAAAAGGCAAAGGGAAGAUCCCAACACCCAAAUGAAUUCAAUGAAUUUCUCUAAUAAUCUUAAUUUUUUAUUUAAAUAAUAUUUUUAAUAUUUUUCUAUUUUAAUUCUUUUAGAAAUGACUAUUUGUCAUUAUUGUUCU
Long non-coding RNA from Dioscorea cayenensis subsp. rotundata (Guinea yam), 747 nucleotides. RefSeq lists it as uncharacterized. The transcript has 3 exons. NCBI's taxonomy places the organism in Eukaryota, Viridiplantae, Streptophyta, Magnoliopsida, Dioscoreales, Dioscoreaceae. The record is from RefSeq and is a predicted model, not a curated record.